Molecule: ribosomal RNA, 487 nt
Filed under: uncultured bacterium
Lineage: Bacteria
Description: partial 16S ribosomal RNA
Rfam family: Bacterial small subunit ribosomal RNA
Source: RNAcentral
GAUGAACGCUAGCGAUAGGCUUAACACAUGCAAGUCGAGGGGCAGCACAAGGUAGCUUGCUAUCUGGGUGGCGACCGGCGCACGGGUGCGUAACGCGUAUGCAACUUGCCCUAUACAGGAGGAUAACCCGUCGAAAGACGGACUAAUACUGCGUAUGCUCACAACUUGGCAUCAAGUGGUGAGGAAAGAAAUUCGGUAUAGGAUAGGCAUGCGUCCCAUUAGCUUGUUGGUGAGGUAACGGCUCACCAAGGCAACGAUGGGUAGGGGAACUGAGAGGUUUAUCCCCCACACUGGUACUGAGACACGGACCAGACUCCUACGGGAGGCAGCAGUGAGGAAUAUUGGUCAAUGGGCGCGAGCCUGAACCAGCCAAGUCGCGUGAAGGAUGACUGUCUUAUGGAUUGCAAACUUCUUUUAUACGGGAAUAACAAGAGUCACGGGUGACUACCUGCAUGUACCGUAUGAAUAAGCAUCGGCUAACUCCGUG